This 572-nucleotide ribosomal RNA is filed under the name uncultured Sphaerochaeta sp. RNAcentral describes it as "bacterial SSU rRNA". It matches the Rfam family "Bacterial small subunit ribosomal RNA", at positions 340 to 906 of the family's 1533-position model. The record is from RNAcentral. Lineage: Bacteria; Pseudomonadati; Spirochaetota; Spirochaetia; Spirochaetales; Sphaerochaetaceae.
UACGGGAGGCAGCAGGUAAGAAUCUUCCGCAAUGGGCGAAAGCCUGACGGAGCGACGCCGCGUGAACGAAGAAGGCCGUGAGGUUGUAAAGUUCUUUUCGGGAGGGGGAACAACCGUGGCAGGGAAUGGCCGCGGGAUGACGUGAAUCCCGGAAUAAGCCCCGGCUAACUACGUGCCAGCAGCCGCGGUAACACGUAGGGGGCGAGCGUUGUUCGGAAUCAUUGGGCGUAAAGGGCGUGCAGGCGGUCCUGCAAGUCCGGCGUGAAAUACCCCGGCCCAACCGGGGGGACGCGCUGGAAACUGCAGGGCUUGAGUACAGGAGGGGAUGCCGGAAUUCCAGGUGUAGGGGUGAAAUCUGUAGAUAUCUGGAAGAACACCAAUGGCGAAGGCAGGCAUCUGGCCAUGUACUGACGCUGAGACGCGAAGGUGCGGGGAGCAAACAGGUUUAGAUACCCUGGUAGUCCGCACAGUAAACGAUGUGCACCAGGUGGCGGGGGGUCGACCCCCGGUACCGUAGCUAACGCAUUAAGUGCACCGCCUGGGGAGUAUGCUCGCAAGGGUGAAACUCAAAG